CGCCAGCUAAGGUCCCAAAGUCAUAGUUAAGUGGGAAACGAUGUGGGAAGGCCCAGACAGCCAGGAUGUUGGCUUAGAAGCAGCCAUCAUUUAAAGAAAGCGUAAUAGCUCACUGGUCGAGUCGGCCUGCGCGGAAGAUGUAACGGGGCUAAACUAUGCACCGAAGCUGCGGCAGCGACACUAUGUGUUGUUGGGUAGGGGAGCGUUCUGUAAGCCUGUGAAGGUGUGUCGUGAGGCAUGCUGGAGGUAUCAGAAGUGCGAAUGCUGACAUAAGUAACGAUAAAGCGGGUGAAAAGCCCGCUCGCCGGAAGACCAAGGGUUCCUGUCCAACGUUAAUCGGGGCAGGGUGAGUCGACCCCUAAGGCGAGGCCGAAAGGCGUAGUCGAUGGGAAACGGGUUAAUAUUCCCGUACUUGGUGUUACUGCGAAGGGGGGACGGAGAAGGCUAUGUUGGCCGGGCGACGGUUGUCCCGGUUUAAGCGUGUAGGUGUGUGUUCCAGGUAAAUCCGGUUCACUUUAACACUGAGGCGUGAUGACGAGGCACUACGGUG
RNAcentral lists this ribosomal RNA (550 nucleotides) under Salmonella enterica subsp. enterica serovar Newport. Its description in RNAcentral is "partial 23S ribosomal RNA". It matches the Rfam family "Bacterial large subunit ribosomal RNA", at positions 1033 to 1584 of the family's 2925-position model. Lineage: Bacteria; Pseudomonadati; Pseudomonadota; Gammaproteobacteria; Enterobacterales; Enterobacteriaceae. The record is from RNAcentral.